CGAACGGGUGAGUAACACGUGGGUGAUCUGCCUCGCACUCUGGGAUAAGCCUGGGAAACUGGGUCUAAUACCGGAUAUGACCRCGAAUCGCAUGGUUUGUGGUGGAAAGGUUUACUGGUGCGAGAUGGGCCCGCGGCCUAUCAGCUUGUUGGUGGGGUAACGGCCUACCAAGGCGACGACGGGUAGCCGGCCUGAGAGGGCGACCGGCCACACUGGGACUGAGACACGGCCCAGACUCCUACGGGAGGCAGCAGUGGGGAAUAUUGCACAAUGGGCGAAAGCCUGAUGCAGCGACGCCGCGUGAGGGAUGACGGCCUUCGGGUUGUAAACCUCUUUCGACAGGGACGAAGCGCAAGUGACGGUACCUGUAGAAGAAGCACCGGCCAACUACGUGCCAGCAGCCGCGGUAAUACGUAGGGUGCGAGCGUUGUCCGGAAUUACUGGGCGUAAAGAGCUUGUAGGCGGUCUGUCGCGUCGAUCGUGAAAACGUGCAGCUCAACUGCGCGCCUGCGGUCGAUACGGGCAGACUAGAGUACUUCAGGGGAGACUGGAAUUCCUGGUGUAGCGGUGAAAUGCGCAGAUAUCAGGAGGAACACCGGUGGCGAAGGCGGGUCUCUGGGAAGUAACUGACGCUGAGAAGCGAAAGCGUGGGUAGCGAACAGGAUUAGAUACCCUGGUAGUCCACGCCGUAAACGGUGGGUACUAGGUGUGGGUUUCCUUCCACGGGAUCCGUGCCGUAGCUAACGC
This 747-nucleotide ribosomal RNA is filed under the name Nocardia otitidiscaviarum. Its description in RNAcentral is "bacterial SSU rRNA". It matches the Rfam family "Bacterial small subunit ribosomal RNA", at positions 99 to 858 of the family's 1533-position model. The record is from RNAcentral. Lineage: Bacteria; Bacillati; Actinomycetota; Actinomycetes; Mycobacteriales; Nocardiaceae.